RNAcentral lists this ribosomal RNA (665 nucleotides) under Vibrio parahaemolyticus. RNAcentral describes it as "bacterial SSU rRNA". It matches the Rfam family "Bacterial small subunit ribosomal RNA", at positions 488 to 1153 of the family's 1533-position model. Lineage: Bacteria; Pseudomonadati; Pseudomonadota; Gammaproteobacteria; Vibrionales; Vibrionaceae. The record is from RNAcentral.
AGCACCGGCUAACUCCGUGCCAGCAGCCGCGGUAAUACGGAGGGUGCGAGCGUUAAUCGGAAUUACUGGGCGUAAAGCGCAUGCAGGUGGUUUGUUAAGUCAGAUGUGAAAGCCCGGGGCUCAACCUCGGAAUUGCAUUUGAAACUGGCAGACUAGAGUACUGUAGAGGGGGGUAGAAUUUCAGGUGUAGCGGUGAAAUGCGUAGAGAUCUGAAGGAAUACCGGUGGCGAAGGCGGCCCCCUGGACAGAUACUGACACUCAGAUGCGAAAGCGUGGGGAGCAAACAGGAUUAGAUACCCUGGUAGUCCACGCCGUAAACGAUGUCUACUUGGAGGUUGUGGCCUUGAGCCGUGGCUUUCGGAGCUAACGCGUUAAGUAGACCGCCUGGGGAGUACGGUCGCAAGAUUAAAACUCAAAUGAAUUGACGGGGGCCCGCACAAGCGGUGGAGCAUGUGGUUUAAUUCGAUGCAACGCGAAGAACCUUACCUACUCUUGACAUCCAGAGAACUUUCCAGAGAUGGAUUGGUGCCUUCGGGAACUCUGAGACAGGUGCUGCAUGGCUGUCGUCAGCUCGUGUUGUGAAAUGUUGGGUUAAGUCCCGCAACGAGCGCAACCCUUAUCCUUGUUUGCCAGCGAGUAAUGUCGGGAACUCCAGGGAGACUGCC